GCCACGGUGGUCUAGCGGAUAGAAUGCUGGCCUUGUAAUCCUGGGGUCUCGGGUUCGAUUCCCGGCGGUGCCC
This 73-nucleotide transfer RNA is filed under the name Zootermopsis nevadensis. It matches the Rfam family "tRNA". From Rfam's summary of the family: Transfer RNA (tRNA) molecules are approximately 80 nucleotides in length. Their secondary structure includes four short double-helical elements and three loops (D, anti-codon, and T loops). Further hydrogen bonds mediate the characteristic L-shaped molecular structure. tRNAs have two regions of fundamental functional importance: the anti-codon, which is responsible for specific mRNA codon recognition, and the 3' end, to which the tRNAs corresponding amino acid is attached (by aminoacyl-tRNA synthetases). tRNAs cope with the degeneracy of the genetic code in two manners: having more than one tRNA (with a specific anti-codon) for a particular amino acid; and 'wobble' base-pairing, i.e. permitting non-standard base-pairing at the 3rd anti-codon position. Lineage: Eukaryota; Metazoa; Arthropoda; Insecta; Blattodea; Termopsidae. The record is from Rfam by way of RNAcentral.